UAUCUUGCUCUUUUCCCUUUGUCUCUAUUUACUAUUUUUAGGUUUUUGAUUUUAUCUUAUUUUGUUUGCUUUGUUCCUCAUUAUUGUGUGUUUACGAUAAAAUGGGAUUAGUUUUAAUUUAGUUGCAUGUCUAUCCAGUUAGUCGCAUUGCUAGUUUAGCUUAAUCAACCCUAGUUAACUUAGUAAUUUACUUAGGUUUAAAUAAUAAAUUAUUUCUGUUUGGUUUGUUUAACAUUGUUUCCUGCCUUAAUUAGUUGCUCAGUGAUGUUCUUAACACACAUUUGGAAAUUGUAGGGGUGAAAGGGUAGUAGAAAGAACUUAAAGGGGUUAAUUUGGAAGUAAAAAUGGAUGAAUUUUUAGGUAAAAAAUAUCAGAAGUUUCUAGUAUUGAACAACUAUCUCUUUUUUUGUUGUUGAAAUAUGCUGAAAAUUGGUAAAGAGGAUAGUUGUGCCAGGUCUGCUGAAAAAGAUGAUAGACUAUCCUUUUUAUAGCUGGGGCAUCUUUGAAUUUUAGAAUAGAAUAUUCCCUAUUAUUCUUAUCCUUAUGCAUUUUUCUUAUACUAUGUAAAAAGGAACCUCACUCACACUCACACAGACGUUAAUAUCGCUACAGAUUUACUCACAAAAAGGAAAGAAUUCACUCUUGAUUUUUCUUUCUGCUUAUAUACUAAUUUCUUCCCAAAGGAUAGGGAAUUCCAUUCAAAUACCAGAAAUGGAGACUUAGGAUUCAUCUUGGUUUCCUGUUUGUUUUCCUAUCAUUGGGGGUUUCGGGAUUUCUAGGGUUUGAGGUUUUUAAGCUAUUGUCUGUUACUCUUUGUUGUUGUAUUCUUGCUACUGUUUCUUCUAGUUUAUUCAGAGAUUCAUCUUCUUCUUCUCUUUAUUUGUUGCUAGUAAGGAGUUUGUGAGUGCUUGGGCACAAGGCUCAGAUUUACAAGUGUAGCGACUGGUUGGUUAGCCUUUUGUAAAUGAUAGGCAGCUUCAAGAACAUUGCAAAGUUUUUGCUAGUUGAUCACAGGCAAACUCAAAAUUAAUUUGAUUUCGGCCUAUGCAACUAAAUUUCUUAAUUUAGUUCAAGGCUUGUAAUUUUUUAUAAAAAUGUAAUUAAGCUAUUUAUUACUAGUAGUGUAUAAAAAUGUAUUCAUACUUAGUUUAAUCCAUCACUGUUUCAGUUCUUUUUCUUUA
Nicotiana tabacum (common tobacco) is the source of this 1181-nucleotide long non-coding RNA. RefSeq lists it as uncharacterized. The record is from RefSeq and is a predicted model, not a curated record. NCBI's taxonomy places the organism in Eukaryota, Viridiplantae, Streptophyta, Magnoliopsida, Solanales, Solanaceae.